RNAcentral lists this microRNA precursor (60 nucleotides) under Callorhinchus milii (elephant shark). Its description in RNAcentral is "Cmi-Mir-34-P2a_pre stem-loop". The record is from RNAcentral. Lineage: Eukaryota; Metazoa; Chordata; Chondrichthyes; Chimaeriformes; Callorhinchidae.
AGGCAGUGUAGUUAGCUGAUUGUGGAGCUAAGGGAACAAUCGCUAACUCACACUACCAUC